AACCAAAAACAAUUAAAGAACAAAAUGCAGACUUUAUUAAUGAUUGGAAAGAUUCUCCAUCUUCUUCUUUUUCUUCUCCUUCCUCUUCUUCUUCCUCUUCCUCUUUAGACGUGUUUGUGACUGGGGCAACUGGGGCGAUUGGAAGUGAAUUAGUUUAUCAACUUCUUAAAAAUCGAAAUGAAAAUUCUCAUGUGGUUUGUCUCGUAAGAGCGACUGAUGAUGAACAAGCCCUGAAACGAAUGGAAAAUUGUUUGAAAAAAACAAGUGAUGAGGGCGACAGUCUUUCAACAGCUUCUCUUAAAGUUUAUGCAGGAGAUUUAUCAAAACAAUACU
RNAcentral lists this non-coding RNA (333 nucleotides) under Paramoeba aestuarina. Lineage: Eukaryota; Discosea; Flabellinia; Dactylopodida; Paramoebidae. The record is from RNAcentral.